GACAGAGGGGGCAAGCGUUGCUCGGAAUUACUGGGCGUAAAGGGCGCGUAGGCGGAAUGGCAAGUCGGUCGUGAAAUCCUUCGGCUCAACCGAAGAACGUCGAUCGAAACUGCCGUUCUUGAGGAUUGCAGAGGAGACUGGAAUUCCCGGUGUAGCGGUGAAAUGCGUAGAUAUCUGGAGGAACACCGGUGGCGAAGGCGGCAUCCUGGACCAAUUCUGACGCUGAGGAGCGAAAGCCAGGGGAGCAAACGGG
RNAcentral lists this ribosomal RNA (253 nucleotides) under uncultured bacterium. Its description in RNAcentral is "partial 16S ribosomal RNA". It matches the Rfam family "Bacterial small subunit ribosomal RNA", at positions 524 to 776 of the family's 1533-position model. The record is from RNAcentral.